This 378-nucleotide ribosomal RNA is filed under the name uncultured bacterium. RNAcentral describes it as "bacterial SSU rRNA". It matches the Rfam family "Bacterial small subunit ribosomal RNA", at positions 527 to 904 of the family's 1533-position model. The record is from RNAcentral.
GUAGGGGGCAAGCGUUAUCCGGAUUUACUGGGUGUAAAGGGAGCGUAGACGGCAUGGCAAGCCAGAUGUGAAAGCCCGGGGCUCAACCCCGGGACUGCAUUUGGAACUGUCAGGCUAGAGUGUCGGAGAGGAAAGCGGAAUUCCUAGUGUAGCGGUGAAAUGCGUAGAUAUUAGGAGGAACACCAGUGGCGAAGGCGGCUUUCUGGACGAUGACUGACGUUGAGGCUCGAAAGCGUGGGGAGCAAACAGGAUUAGAUACCCUGGUAGUCCACGCCGUAAACGAUGACUACUAGGUGUCGGGUAGCAAAGCUGUUCGGUGCCGCAGCAAACGCAAUAAGUAGUCCACCUGGGGAGUACGUUCGCAAGAAUGAAACUCAA